This is a non-coding RNA of Gasterosteus aculeatus aculeatus (three-spined stickleback), 1311 nucleotides long. Lineage: Eukaryota; Metazoa; Chordata; Actinopteri; Perciformes; Gasterosteidae. The record is from RefSeq and is a predicted model, not a curated record.
UAAACUAGGCUUGAAUUGAAACGAGUGCGUUGACACGACUGUGCGUAAAGACGCAGAUGCGGAAGCAUGCGCCAGCCGUUACGGAGACAAGUAGCGAAGAUAAGCCGCGCCUAAAAAACUACAACUAGUCGGGCGAGUAAAGCGUGGUGAAAAUUCACUUCUCUUUUGGUGUGAACGCAGCAUUAGGAGGUUGACACACGAACACACACGGUGUGCCCACGGGACAUACUUUCUGCCAACGCACUCACGUAUUCUUCUUCCUCAUAUUCUGCUUCUGCUUCUUCUUCUUCCCGUUUCCGUCUUCGUCUUCUUCUUCCUUUGGUUUUGCUUUUGUUUUCUUCUUAUCUUCUUGGCGGUAGAUAAUCGAAAAUCGGCGCGUUGGCGCCAUCAGCUGGUGAGGAGUGGAUCACGAGGUCUGGUUCAAUGAAUGUGAGAUGUUGAAGUGAUUGACUGUGGCCAGCGAAGCUGAGCCAAACUCCUUGUAAUCUCACAUACUUAUUAUUAUUAUUCUCUAUUAUUCUCCUUCCGUACAGAAGUUUGGCACACAAGGUAACGACCCCAUCCUCACCAUCGUUGACCGCUUCUCUAAGAAUGUUAAUUUUGUGGCUCUGCCCAAGUUACCCACCGCCCGUGAGACUGCCAACCUCUUGGUGCACAAUGUUUUUUGCCUGCAUGGAAUACCACUGGACAUUGUCUCAAAUCGUGGACUCCAAUUCGCCGUUCAGGUAUGGAGAUCAUUCUGUCAAGCUCUUGGUGCCACUGUCAGUCUCUCCUGGUUUUCACCCACAGACGAAUGGCCAGUCGGAGAGAGCCAAUCAGGACCUGGAGGCUGCGCUGCGGUGUGUAACCGCUACCAAUCCCACUGCCUGGAGCGCAUAACUCAAAUGGAUCGAAUACGCCCAUCAUUCCCUGACCAGCACUGCCACAGUGGAGAAGAUAAUUAACCUUACAGCUCUCCGAAGGAAACUGCCUCGUACCAUGAGGGUCCAUUCCAUGCAUCACAUUUGAAACCAGUGUCCACCAGCCCACGGAUUCAUCCGGACAAGCCCGGCGGGUCGCCUGGAGGCUUCCGUUGACGGGGAGGUAUUGUCGUGGUCUGGGCGGUGCCCCUCCCACCAAUUGACCGGCACAGCUGGAAGGAGUUUCACUAAUCACGCUCCAGGCUUUAUAUUCUCCAACCUUCCAGUUCCCUGCCACUCACAUUCUAGAGUCAGCCUGCUCCAGCCAGCUCCAGCCUGCCGACCAUUCCCCCCGCCUGCUCUCAACAUUGUAACCCCUGGUUCUCUAUAAAUAAAGACUGUUGAACCUUUU